RNAcentral lists this long non-coding RNA (201 nucleotides) under Sorghum bicolor (sorghum). RNAcentral's name for it is "long non-coding RNA (SBIC_LNC001937)". The record is from RNAcentral. Lineage: Eukaryota; Viridiplantae; Streptophyta; Magnoliopsida; Poales; Poaceae.
UAGACAUGUAUUAUUUAUCUUAAUAUCUAAAUGUAUAGAAAAAUAAAUAUAUAAAAAAAAUCAAAACGACUUAUACCUUAAGUGCCAAAUCUCUGUGCAUCCCAAGACAUAACUAUGUUAGGAGGGCCAUAGUGCCAAUUCCACACUAAUUUGACCAUCCUAACGCCAUGCGUAAAUAUAAAUGACUUUAUUGGUGCCUCC